GAUCAUGGCUCAGAUUGAACGCUGGCGGCAUGCCUUACACAUGCAAGUCGAACGGCAGCAUGGAGAGCUUGCUCUCUGAUGGCGAGUGGCGAACGGGUGAGUAAUACAUCGGAACGUGUCCGUUUGUGGGGGACAACCGUCCGAAAGGAUGGCUAAUACCGCAUGAGACCUGAGGGUGAAAGCGAGGGGACCGCAACGGCCCGGCGCAGACGGAGCGGCCGAUGAUUG
RNAcentral lists this ribosomal RNA (228 nucleotides) under uncultured bacterium. RNAcentral describes it as "partial 16S ribosomal RNA". It matches the Rfam family "Bacterial small subunit ribosomal RNA", at positions 15 to 239 of the family's 1533-position model. The record is from RNAcentral.